GAGUUUGAUCUUGGCUCAGAGCGAACGCUGGCGGCAGGCUUAACACAUGCAAGUCGAACGGGCACUUCGGUGCUAGUGGCAGACGGGUGAGUAACACGUGGGAACGUACCUUUCGGUUCGGAAUAAUACAGGGAAACUUGUACUAAUACCGGAUACGCCCUUCGGGGAAGGAUUAUCGCCGAUGAUCGCCGCGUCUGAUUAGCUAGUUGGUGAGGUAAUGGCUCACCAAGGCGACGAUCAGUAGCUGGUCUGAGAGGAUGAUCAGCCACACUGGGACUGAGACACGGCCCAGACUCCUACGGGAGGCAGCAGUGGGGAAUAUUGGACAAUGGGCGCAAGCCUGAUCCAGCCAUGCCGCGUGUGUGAUGAAGGCCUUA
This 377-nucleotide ribosomal RNA is filed under the name uncultured microorganism. Its description in RNAcentral is "bacterial SSU rRNA". It matches the Rfam family "Bacterial small subunit ribosomal RNA", at positions 9 to 419 of the family's 1533-position model. The record is from RNAcentral.